This is a non-coding RNA of Triticum aestivum (bread wheat), 135 nucleotides long. The record is from Rfam. NCBI's taxonomy places the organism in Eukaryota, Viridiplantae, Streptophyta, Magnoliopsida, Poales, Poaceae.
AUACUACUCCCUCCGUCCGGAAAUACUUAUCAUCAAAAUGAACAAAAGGAGAUGUGUCUAGACGUAUUUUAGUUUUAGAUACAUCUCUUUUUAUUCAUUUUGAUGACAAAUAUUUUUGGACGGAGGGAGUACAUA